This 253-nucleotide ribosomal RNA is filed under the name uncultured bacterium. RNAcentral's name for it is "partial 16S ribosomal RNA". It matches the Rfam family "Bacterial small subunit ribosomal RNA", at positions 524 to 776 of the family's 1533-position model. The record is from RNAcentral.
UACAGAGGUCUCAAGCGUUGUUCGGAUUCAUUGGGCGUAAAGGGCGCGUAGGCGGCGGGGUACGUCGGGUGUGAAAUCUCAGAGCUCAACUCUGAAACUGCACUCGAUACUGCUCUGCUUGAGGACUGGAGAGGAGACUGGAAUUCACGGUGUAGCAGUGAAAUGCGUAGAUAUCGUGAGGAAGACCAGUGGCGAAGGCGGGUCUCUGGACAGUUCCUGACGCUGAGGCGCGAAGGCCAGGGGAGCAAACGGG